UUGGCGGGCCUGGAGCUGGCUAUGACGCGUCGAGCGGUAAUGAGCCCUUCGGGGUACACGAGCGGCGAACGGGUGAGUAACACGUGAGCAACCUGCCCCUGACUCCGGGAUAAGCGGUGGAAACGCCGUCUAAUACCGGAUACGACCGGCCGCCUCAUGGUGGCCGGUGGAAAGUUCUUCGGUUGGGGAUGGGCUCGCGGCCUAUCAGCUUGUUGGUGGGGUAAAGGCCUACCAAGGCGAUUACGGGUAGCCGGCCUGAGAGGGCGACCGGCCACACUGGGACUGAGACACGGCCCAGACUCCUGCGGGAGGCAGCAGUGGGGAAUAUUGCGCAAUGGGCGAAAGCCUGACGCAGCGACGCCGCGUGGGGGAUGACGGCCUUCGGGUUGUAAACCUCUUUUACCACCAACGCAGGCUCCCAGUUCUCUGGGGGUUGACGGUAGGUGGGGAAUAAGGACCGGCUAACUACGUGCCAGCAGCCGCGGUAAUACGUAGGGUCCGAGCGUUGUCCGGAAUUAUUGGGCGUAAAGAGCUCGUAGGCGGCGUGUCGCGUCUGCUGUGAAAGACCGGGGCUUAACUCCGGUUCUGCAGUGGAUACGGGCAUGCUAGAGGUAGGUAGGGGAGACUGGAAUUCCUGGUGUAGCGGUGAAAUGCGCAGAUAUCAGGAGGAACACCGGUGGCGAAGGCGGGUCUCUGGGCCUUACCUGACGCUGAGGAGCGAAAGCAUGGGGAGCGAACAGGAUUAGAUACCCUGGUAGUCCAUGCCGUAAACGUUGGGCGCUAGGUGUGGGGACUUUCCACGGUUUCCGCGCCGUAGCUAACGCAUUAAGCGCCCCGCCUGGGGAGUACGGCCGCAAGGCUAAAACUCAAAGGAAUUGACGGGGGCCCGCACAAGCGGCGGAGCAUGUUGCUUAAUUCGACGCAACGCGAAGAACCUUACCAAGGUUUGACAUCACCCGUGGACCUGCAGAGAUGUGGGGUCAUUUAGUUGGUGGGUGAC
This 1000-nucleotide ribosomal RNA is filed under the name Nocardiopsis sp. ZZY-2013. Its description in RNAcentral is "bacterial SSU rRNA". It matches the Rfam family "Bacterial small subunit ribosomal RNA", at positions 39 to 1035 of the family's 1533-position model. The record is from RNAcentral. Lineage: Bacteria; Bacillati; Actinomycetota; Actinomycetes; Streptosporangiales; Nocardiopsidaceae.